CUCGCUCUCACACACACAUACACAGACACACACAUACUAACAUACUCCCAUACACACUCGCUCUAACACACACACACACACACACACACACACACACACACAUACUAACACACUGCAAUACACACUCUCUCACACACACACACACAGGCACACAUAUACACACACACACACACACAUCCGAACCAUCUCAGUUCUUCUGGAGUGUUGGCUGCUUAAAUUAAAGUGAAUUUGUUCCUCGGCGAGUUUACAACCCCCCCCCCCCCCCCCCCCCUCCUCAGACUGGAAUACGCUUAAGCAGCGCCAGGCCAAAUGAAUUGACAUUUAAAUAAUCCUAAUCGCUUUUUUUUUUCUCGAGUGCUGUAGUUAACCUCUCCAGAGGCAGAGAGAGGCCUCCUCAGAGUUCUUUUUUUUUCUUUUAUUUCUUCUUCUUUUUUUUUUAACAUCCUUUUCCACAUCGACGGCCGAACUGAAAGCACAGCCCUUCUUAUUGUUCAUAGUCCUUCUAUUUCACCAUGGCCUGUCUAGAGCACUCAAGACGUCUCUACCUCCUUAGUGACAAAAAUGGGAAAUGUGAAAUCAAAAAAAAAAAAGAGAGAAUAGAUUACAAAAUCGUCUGAGAGCCGGCGAACAAGAAAGAAAAAGAAGGAAAACCUUGACGGGCGAGACAUUGUGAUUGGAGGACAUAAGUAGAGUCAGCAAAAGUGGUGGUAAUGUGAACUUUUAAAGCUUUAAGCUCUGGACGGCCCCAGCACCAGUUUGCUGCAGGGCCCAGCCUGUGGUAUCAGAAAGCAGCACUCAACUGGAAACGUGAAAGUGGCAGGUCCGGGUGCAUUCGGAUCCAGGCCUCGGUGAGUUAAUAGAGCUGACACGGACCAGGGGGAGACGGGGAGGGAGUGAGGGGGGAUGUGAGCACCACUGGCUGCAUGGAUGGAUGUGCUAAGCCCCCACCCCCACCCCCAACGGUAAUGAGGCCACUCUCCGGUGUGGUGACCUCUUGACCCUUCUCGUCUCAGAGCCCAAGUGUCAUCUAAUAAGAUUCAUUACUUCUCAGGGCUGCCUCUGCAACCUCCUCCCCUGUCC
Molecule: long non-coding RNA, 1080 nt
Organism: Clupea harengus (Atlantic herring)
Lineage: Eukaryota; Metazoa; Chordata; Actinopteri; Clupeiformes; Clupeidae
Source: Ensembl